This 424-nucleotide ribosomal RNA is filed under the name uncultured prokaryote. Its description in RNAcentral is "bacterial SSU rRNA". It matches the Rfam family "Bacterial small subunit ribosomal RNA", at positions 355 to 796 of the family's 1533-position model. The record is from RNAcentral.
UGGGGAAUAUUGGACAAUGCGGGAAACCGUGAUCCAGCAAUGCCGCGUGAGUGAUGAAGGCCUUAGGGUUGUAAAGCUCUUUUACCAGGGAUGAUAAUGACAGUACCUGGAGAAUAAGCUCCGGCUAACUCCGUGCCAGCAGCCGCGGUAAUACAGAGGGGGCAAGCGUUGUCCGGACUUACUGGGCGUAAAGCGCACGCAGGUGGUAACGCAAGUGGGGUGUGAAAGCCGCCAGCUCAACUGGCGGAGGCCAUCCCAAACUGCGUCACUUGAGGCCUGUAGAGGUAUGUGGAAUUGCCGGUGUAGUGGUGAAAUGCGUAGAGAUCGGCAGGAACACCCAGGGGGAAGCCAGCAUACUGGACAGGUCCUGACACUCAGGUGCGACAGCGUGGGGAGCGAACCGGAUUAGAUACCCGCGUAGUCC